RNAcentral lists this ribosomal RNA (253 nucleotides) under uncultured prokaryote. Its description in RNAcentral is "partial 16S ribosomal RNA". It matches the Rfam family "Bacterial small subunit ribosomal RNA", at positions 525 to 777 of the family's 1533-position model. The record is from RNAcentral.
ACGGAGGGAGCUAGCGUUGUUCGGAAUUACUGGGCGUAAAGCGCACGUAGGCGGCUAUUCAAGUCGGGGGUGAAAGCCCGGGGCUCAACCCCGGAACUGCCCUCGAAACUAGGUAGCUAGAAUCUUGGAGAGGUCAGUGGAAUUCCGAGUGUAGAGGUGAAAUUCGUAGAUAUUCGGAAGAACACCAGUGGCGAAGGCGACUGACUGGACAAGUAUUGACGCUGAGGUGCGAAAGCGUGGGGAGCAAACAGGA